RNAcentral lists this transfer RNA (73 nucleotides) under Cricetulus griseus (Chinese hamster). It matches the Rfam family "tRNA". From Rfam's summary of the family: Transfer RNA (tRNA) molecules are approximately 80 nucleotides in length. Their secondary structure includes four short double-helical elements and three loops (D, anti-codon, and T loops). Further hydrogen bonds mediate the characteristic L-shaped molecular structure. tRNAs have two regions of fundamental functional importance: the anti-codon, which is responsible for specific mRNA codon recognition, and the 3' end, to which the tRNAs corresponding amino acid is attached (by aminoacyl-tRNA synthetases). tRNAs cope with the degeneracy of the genetic code in two manners: having more than one tRNA (with a specific anti-codon) for a particular amino acid; and 'wobble' base-pairing, i.e. permitting non-standard base-pairing at the 3rd anti-codon position. Lineage: Eukaryota; Metazoa; Chordata; Mammalia; Rodentia; Cricetidae. The record is from Rfam by way of RNAcentral.
GGGAAUGUAGUUCAGUUGGUAGACUGCUUGCCUAGCAUGCAUGAGGCUCUGGGUUCCAUUCCCAGCAUUACAU